AGAAUCAACGCUGGCGGCGUGCCUAACACAUGCAAGUCGCACGAGAAAGGGGAGCAAUCCCUGAGUAAAGUGGCGCACGGGUGAGUAACACGUGAAUGAUCUACCUCCGAGUGGGGAAUAACUGAGAGAAAUCUUAACUAAUACCGCAUAACACUUACGAGUCAAAGCAGCAAUGCGCUUGGAGAGGAGUUCGCGGCCGAUUAGUUAGUUGGCGGGGUAAUGGCCCACCAAGACGAUGAUCGGUA
This 245-nucleotide ribosomal RNA is filed under the name uncultured bacterium. RNAcentral describes it as "partial small subunit ribosomal RNA". It matches the Rfam family "Bacterial small subunit ribosomal RNA", at positions 26 to 285 of the family's 1533-position model. The record is from RNAcentral.